This 1851-nucleotide long non-coding RNA is filed under the name Nicotiana benthamiana. RNAcentral's name for it is "long non-coding RNA (NBEN_LNC002939)". The record is from RNAcentral. Lineage: Eukaryota; Viridiplantae; Streptophyta; Magnoliopsida; Solanales; Solanaceae.
AUGCAUUGACGUAAUGAUCCAAAUGGCCGUUUUAAGCAUUUGAAUUCUAUUCAGCUGUUUGAAGUAGUGAGUAGCUUCAUAUGAUGUAGUAUGACUUGUGUGAAUCAUUAAUUUUGAUUUUCAAGUGAUUCGAAAUUUACUCGGAAGAAUGAAUCAUAUGUUAGAAGCUUUAAGUUAGAAGAGUUGACCAAGUUUGAAAAUUGUGUAUUUGAGCCUGGAUCAAAUUUUUGAUGGUUUCGUUAGGUCUAGAUGGUGAUUUUUGACUUGGUCGUAUGCCCUAAUUUGCAUUUGGAUAUUUCUUGAAGGUUAUGGUAAAAUUGGCGAAAAUUGGCAAUUUGAUUUUGGAAAGUUCAUAGUUUUGACAUGGGAUUGAAUUGGAUGAUAUUGGAUUUGGGUUAUGGUUUUAGAAGUUGGAACAACUCUGCUAUAUUAUUUGGAACUUGUGUGCAAAAUUUAAGGUCAUUCUGAGUUGAUUUGACAUGAUUCAGCACAAGUUUUGAAAGUUGGAAGUUCGAAACUUUAUUAAGUUUGAUUUGAGGUGUGUUUCUUAAUUUUGAUGUUUUUAUGUGUGAUUUAAGGCCUCGAGUAGGUCCGUAUUAUGUUUUGGAACUUUUUGGUAUGUUGGGACGGGGUUCCGAGAGGCUUGGGCGAGUUUCGGAUGUGGUUAGGUUCAUUUUGCCUCAUGUUGCAUUGCUGAAGAGGGAUUGGUGCUGGUGUUCCUACAUAUACAGAAGUAUGGAUGCAGAUGCAGACCAAUGGUCGCAUAAUUGAAAGGGGUUGUGUUUGGGAACAUCACAGAUGCGAGGUAUUGGGAGGCAUUUGCGUUAUUGCAAAAGCGAUGGCUGGGGUGCAUGAGCGAGAUGUUGUGAAAAUAUGUAUUUUGUGUCACACCUACGAUGUCGUACAAGUAGAUGGUUCUUCGCAAGUAUGAGUGAUCAAAUUUCCAGCUGUUUCAACAGAAGCAGACACAACUUUUCUAAAGCGACUCCGCAAAACCGGCUUAUUCUUCGCAUUUGUGAAAUUCGUGGGAAGAAGCUAUAUAUUCAAGGGCUUGUUCAUUUUGUCACAUUGGGAGAUUUGGAGCUCAACUUUGGGAAAUUGUGGAGAGGAUUUUUACCACAUGGACUGGGGUAAGUAUUUCCUACUCGGUUUUGAUUACAUUCCAUGAUUCCAUCUUGGAUUUUUGGCAUAUUUUUGAGUUUUGAACAUCGAUUCCAAGUUGGAUUUGUAUGAAAUUAGUAUGGUUGGACUCGUAAUUGAUAGCGUUGUCAGAUUUUGUGAUUUUUUUCCGGUUCCGAGGUGCAGACCGAGAUUUACAAUUUUGGUUGAAUUUGAGUAUUAGAUAAAAUACUCGUUUUUUUUCAAUUGGGGUAGUUUCCUUAGGCAUUAUUUGAUGUCUUUGAUUUGACUUUAGCUUGUUUUAAGUCGUUCGGAGGUUUACUUGCACGGGAUGGUUUUCUAGAGUAUUGUUGGCCUGUUCGGUAUUUGAUUUGGCCUGUUCGAGGUAAGUAACAUAUCUAAACUUGAAUUUGAGGGUAAAUAUCCUUGAGAAUUGUAGUAUUUGAGAUGGGUUGGGGGAGACGCACGUGCUAGCUGACGGGCACGGGUGCAUACAUCAAGGUAUUUCAUGAUCUAGGUGGGUUGUGAACUAUUAUUUACCUUGUUUUUCUAUCAUGCUUCUUCGAUUUCAUCUAUUCUCUAUCUAUGUUGCUGCGUGAGAUAUCAUUUAUGUUAGAGUCACGUCUAGGCCACCUGCUUAAUUGUUUGAGUCAUGAUUUGGUUAUUCACGCCAUGUUGAACUUUUUGCCUUAGUCGUAGUCAUAUUGUACGGUCAUGAUAGUUACAUCUACG